Molecule: ribosomal RNA, 433 nt
Filed under: uncultured bacterium
Lineage: Bacteria
Description: partial 16S ribosomal RNA
Rfam family: Bacterial small subunit ribosomal RNA
Source: RNAcentral
AACGAACGCUGGCGGCAUGCCUAACACAUGCAAGUCGAACGAGACCUUCGGGUCUAGUGGCGCACGGGUGCGUAACGCGUGGGAACCUGCCCUUAGGUUCGGAAUAACUCCCCGAAAGGGGUGCUAAUACCGGAUAAUGUCUUCGGACCAAAGAUUUAUCGCCUUUGGAUGGGCCCGCGUUGGAUUAGCUAGUUGGUAGGGUAAAAGCCUACCAAGGCGACGAUCCAUAGCUGGUCUGAGAGGAUGAUCAGCCACACUGGGACUGAGACACGGCCCAGACUCCUACGGGAGGCAGCAGUGGGGAAUAUUGGACAAUGGGCGGAAGCCUGAUCCAGCAAUGCCGCGUGAGUGAUGAAGGCAUUAGGGUUGUAAAGCUCUUUUAACCGGGAUGAUAAUGACAGUACCGGGAGAAUAAGCUCCGGCUAACUCCGUG